AUAUAAAGAGGUGUAGUUAUUGUUUUCUGGUCUUCUCUAGAUAAACGUUCUCCUUAGGUAGGCUUUUGUUGUGAAAAGGCACAUCUUGGUGAACCGAGGCUCAUUUGCAUGCGUAAGCAAAGUAGAUCAGUCUGCGCUUUUGCAGUGUGUUUACACAGCAGCUACCAGGAGUUGUGUAUGAUAAACUGCAACUCAAAGCAUUAAUAUAUUUAGCAGCUAGUCCAAAAAAGCUUUUAGCAUCAGUGAGAUAUAAAACAGAUUUUAUGAUGUGCUGUUUAGUGACUGAGGCUUCUUCUUCUUAAUAGGCUACAAAAACAAUAUAUUUUACUGCUGUGACAUAUGUAUGUAUACCUGCAUGCAUUCCUGUGGCUAUUACAUCACAUCCUAUAUUGGUCAGGAAGAGCACAAGCAAGCUAUCUGAUUUUGACAGGCAAUGACAGUUUUAUUUAAAAUAAUAGAGAACAUAAAACCAAAAGAACUAAGAAAACCCUCUAUAAAGGCACUUUUUCCAAAGUGACCAUAAAUGUUCAGAUAACUGUAAAAGGCAGCUAAGUGUGCAUAUACAGGAUGUGAGUUUACUGGGAAUCAUUUUAUUGCUAAUAACAAUUUAGUUUGACAGUAUGGAGCUGCGGGUGUUAUCUUUUUUUGUUUGUUUGUUUUUUGUUUAUUUCUUCUGUGCAGGCGUUGAUUUGCCAUAUUGCUUCAAAGCUCAAAUGUGAGAUCUCCACAAUCAAACAGGAUCAUGAUGAUUUCCCUGAAACCUGUCAUACAGACAGCACUGUUCUCUCACUGUCUUAUUGCUCAUAACAAGAGGGUUUUCUUCUCGUCCAAAUAUACACAGGAGUUUGGAAUCGGAGUUACACCGAUAUCAGAAUGGAGUCCCCACCCCUACCUUAGGAUUUGGCGUGUCUUCCUGCUGGUGGUGGGCGUCUUUUCUGUGACGCACCUCGCAAACUUUCUCGCG
Poecilia latipinna (sailfin molly) is the source of this 964-nucleotide long non-coding RNA. RefSeq lists it as uncharacterized. NCBI's taxonomy places the organism in Eukaryota, Metazoa, Chordata, Actinopteri, Cyprinodontiformes, Poeciliidae. The transcript is spliced from 4 exons. The record is from RefSeq and is a predicted model, not a curated record.